RNAcentral lists this unclassified non-coding RNA (22 nucleotides) under Mus musculus (house mouse). RNAcentral describes it as "oocyte_clustered_small_RNA5621". The record is from RNAcentral. Lineage: Eukaryota; Metazoa; Chordata; Mammalia; Rodentia; Muridae.
UGUUGGCUCUCAGAGGUCGGGU